UUUAAUAUGGCAGAAAUUAAUGCAUUGGAUUUAAAUCCCAAAAAUAAARAAAUUCUUUUAUUAAAA
RNAcentral lists this transfer RNA (66 nucleotides) under Pseudolasius cibdelus. RNAcentral's name for it is "tRNA-Leu". It matches the Rfam family "tRNA". Rfam says of the family: Transfer RNA (tRNA) molecules are approximately 80 nucleotides in length. Their secondary structure includes four short double-helical elements and three loops (D, anti-codon, and T loops). Further hydrogen bonds mediate the characteristic L-shaped molecular structure. tRNAs have two regions of fundamental functional importance: the anti-codon, which is responsible for specific mRNA codon recognition, and the 3' end, to which the tRNAs corresponding amino acid is attached (by aminoacyl-tRNA synthetases). tRNAs cope with the degeneracy of the genetic code in two manners: having more than one tRNA (with a specific anti-codon) for a particular amino acid; and 'wobble' base-pairing, i.e. permitting non-standard base-pairing at the 3rd anti-codon position. The record is from RNAcentral. Lineage: Eukaryota; Metazoa; Arthropoda; Insecta; Hymenoptera; Formicidae.